RNAcentral lists this ribosomal RNA (309 nucleotides) under uncultured bacterium. RNAcentral describes it as "partial 16S ribosomal RNA". It matches the Rfam family "Bacterial small subunit ribosomal RNA", at positions 504 to 808 of the family's 1533-position model. The record is from RNAcentral.
AGAGACAGCAGUCGCCACGGGAAUACGUAGGUGGCAAGCGUUGUCCGGAAUUAUUGGGCGUAAAGCGCGCGCAGGCGGAUCAGUUAGUCUGUCUUAAAAGUUCGGGGCUUAACCCCGUGAGGGGAUGGAAACUGCUGAUCUAGAGUAUCGGAGAGGAAAGUGGAAUUCCUAGUGUAGCGGUGAAAUGCGUAGAUAUAUGGAGGAACACCGGUGGCGAAAGCGGCUCUCUGGCUUGUAACUGACGCUGAGGCUCGAAAGCGUGGGGAGCAAACAGGAUUAGAUACCCCAGUAGUCCCUGUCUCUUAUACA